This 279-nucleotide ribosomal RNA is filed under the name uncultured bacterium. Its description in RNAcentral is "partial 16S ribosomal RNA". It matches the Rfam family "Bacterial small subunit ribosomal RNA", at positions 355 to 629 of the family's 1533-position model. The record is from RNAcentral.
UGGGGAAUAUUGCACAAUGGGCGCAAGCCUGAUGCAGCCAUGCCGCGUGUGUGAAGAAGGCCUUCGGGUUGUAAAGCACUUUCAGCGAGGAGGAAGGGUAGUGUGUUAAUAGCACAUUGCAUUGACGUUACUCGCAGAAGAAGCACCGGCUAACUCCGUGCCAGCAGCCGCGGUAAUACGGAGGGUGCAAGCGUUAAUCGGAAUUACUGGGCGUAAAGCGCACGCAGGCGGUUUGUUAAGUCAGAUGUGAAAUCCCGCGCUAACGUGGAACUGCAUUUG